UACGGAGGGUGCAAACGUUGCUCGGAAUUAUUGGGCGUAAAGCGCACGUAGGCGGCCGACUAAGUCGGGUGUGAAAGCCCAGGGCUCAACCCUGGAAGUGCACUCGAAACUGGUCGGCUUGAAUAUGGAAGAGGGUUGCGGAAUUCCCGGUGUAGAGGUGAAAUUCGUAGAUAUCGGGAGGAACACCAGUGGCGAAGGCGGCAACCUGGGCCAAUAUUGACGCUGAGGUGCGAAAGCGUGGGGAGCAAACAGG
Molecule: ribosomal RNA, 253 nt
Filed under: uncultured bacterium
Lineage: Bacteria
Description: partial 16S ribosomal RNA
Rfam family: Bacterial small subunit ribosomal RNA
Source: RNAcentral